UAAAAGUUUGGUUCUGGCUUUUCACUUUGGCUGUGAUUGUUUUAAAUACAUGAAAUUUUUGAGAGGAGUGAGGCAGGGUUAGCCAUGAAGUUUGGAUAGAGUCCUUAUUUCAUGCCAACCUCUGAUAUUAUCUUAUUUAUGAUAUCAAGAGAUCUUCCACUUCAUCAGUAUUGGAGAUUAAGAAAUAUAAGAAAUUAUGAUUUAGAAACUAAUCAAGAAAGUUUGGAAAAAUUUGUGCCAGCCUCCGCGGUUAGACAAAUGAACUGAGUUAAAGUGAGCGGUAAAAAAGAUGGUUAAUUUAAACUAAAUAGACAGAUUUAAUUGGCCCUAUGGGUUAAAUCAGAAGAGCUAAUUUUUAACCUACUUCUGUCUAAUAGAUGACGCCAUGAAAACUCCUACUAAAACCGGGAUUAGAUACCCCGUUAUUCGAGAAAUAAAUACUUAAGUAAAUACAUAAUACCCGAGUAUUACGAGCGUCCCUUAAAACUCAAAGAACUUGGCGGUGCUUUAAACCCAGCCAGGGGAACCUGCCCCGUAAUCGAUAUUCCACGUAGGACCUGACUUUUUUUUGCAAAUCAGUCUGUAUACCGUCGUCGUCAGGUAACUUUUAAGAAAAAAGAAGUUAGCAAAAAGAAAAAGUUUUUCUUUAUGUCAGAUCAAGGUGCAGCUAAUAAAAAAGAGGAGGUGGGUUACUGUAAAAAAUUUUUUAUGGAUGUCUUUUUGAAAUAGAAGACUGAAAAAGGACUUGGGAGUAAAUUUAAGAAAGAGUGCUAAAUUGAACCAGGAUUUAAAGCGUGCACAUAUCGCCCGUCGCUCUCGUUGAAAAAUGAGAUAAGUCGUAACAUAGCAAGGGUACCGGAAGGUGUUCUUAAAAACAU
Molecule: non-coding RNA, 878 nt
Filed under: Dracogyra subfuscus
Lineage: Eukaryota; Metazoa; Mollusca; Gastropoda; Neomphalida; Peltospiridae
Source: RNAcentral